This 821-nucleotide ribosomal RNA is filed under the name uncultured bacterium. RNAcentral's name for it is "partial 16S ribosomal RNA". It matches the Rfam family "Bacterial small subunit ribosomal RNA", at positions 28 to 896 of the family's 1533-position model. The record is from RNAcentral.
AGCGAACGCUGGCGGCAGGCCUAACACAUGCAAGUCGAACGGAUCCUUCGGGAUUAGUGGCGGACGGGUGAGGAACACGUGGGAACGUGCCUUUUGGUUCGGAACAACUCAGGGAAACUUGAGCUAAUACCGGAUAAGCCCUUCGGGGGAAAGAUUUAUCGCCAUUAGAGCGGCCCGCGUCUGAUUAGCUAGUUGGUGAGGUAAAGGCUCACCAAGGCAACGAUCASUAGMUGGUCUGAKAGGAUGAUCAKCCACACUGGGASUGASACRCGGCCCAKACUCCUACGGGAGGCAGCAGUGGGGAAUCUUGCGCAAUGGGCGAAAGCCUGACGCAKYCAUGCCGCGUGAAUGAUGAAGGUCUUAGGAUUGUAAAAUUCUUUCACCGGGGACGAUAAUGACGGUACCCGGAGAAGAARCCCCGGCUAACUUCGUGCCAGCAGCCGCGGUAAUACGAAGGGGGCUAGCGUUGCUCGGAAUUACUGGGCGUAAAGGGAGCGUAGGCGGAUAGUUCAGUCAGAGGUGAAAGCCCGGGGCUCAWCCUUGGAAUUGCCUYUGAUWCUGGCUGUCUUGAGUAUGGGAGAGGUUAGCGGAACUCYGAGUGUAGAGGUGAAAUUYGUAGAUAUUCGGAAGAACACCAGUGGCGAAGGCGGCUAACUGGCCCAUUACUGACGCUGAGGCUSGAAAGCGUGGGGAGCAAACAGGAUUAGAUACCCUGGUAGUCCACGCCGUAAACGAUGAGUGCUAGUUGUCGGCAUGCAYGCAUGUCGSUGACGCAGYUAACGCAUUAAGCACUCCGCCUGGGGAGUACGGUCGCAAGAUUA